GACGAACGCUGGCGGCGUGCCUAAUACAUGCAAGUGGGACGCAAGGGAACACACUGUGCUUGCACACCGUGUUUUCUUGAGUCGCGAACGGGUGAGUAACGCGUAGGUAACCUGCCUAUUAGCGGGGGAUAACUAUUGGAAACGAUAGCUAAUACCGCAUAAUAUUAAUUAUUGCAUGAUAAUUGAUUGAAAGAUGCAAGCGCAUCACUAGUAGAUGGACCUGCGUUGUAUUAGCUAGUUGGUAAGGUAAGAGCUUACCAAGGCGACGAUACAUAGCCGACCUGAGAGGGUGAUCGGCCACACUGGGACUGAGACACGGCCCAGACUCCUACGGGAGGCAGCAGUAGGGAAUCUUCGGCAAUGGACGAAAGUCUGACCGAGCAACGCCGCGUGAGUGAAGAAGGUUUUCGGAUCGUAAAGCUCUGUUGUAAGUCAAGAACGUGUGUGA
Molecule: ribosomal RNA, 448 nt
Filed under: Streptococcus mutans
Lineage: Bacteria; Bacillati; Bacillota; Bacilli; Lactobacillales; Streptococcaceae
Description: bacterial SSU rRNA
Rfam family: Bacterial small subunit ribosomal RNA
Source: RNAcentral